Molecule: unclassified non-coding RNA, 269 nt
Filed under: uncultured fungus
Lineage: Eukaryota; Fungi
Description: partial contains 18S rRNA, ITS1 and 5.8S rRNA
Source: RNAcentral
AGGUGAACCUGCGGAAGGAUCAUUAACCUUUCAAAUCAGGGUGCGGCGCGGCCCCCGAGGAGCGGAAACAAUCCUUGGGAGGUAUGCGGGGGCUUCGAGCCCCCCAUUUACGCACGCACGACUGCCAUCCUUACUUUACGAGCACCUUCUGUUCUCCCUCGGCGGGGCAACCUGCCGUUGGAACCGAAUAAACUCUUUUUGCAUCUAGCAUUACCUGUUCCGAAACAAACAAUCGUUACAACUUUCAACAAUGGAUCUCUUGGCUCUGG